Molecule: ribosomal RNA, 519 nt
Filed under: uncultured bacterium
Lineage: Bacteria
Description: bacterial SSU rRNA
Rfam family: Bacterial small subunit ribosomal RNA
Source: RNAcentral
ACUGAAUAGAUACCCUGGUAGUCCACGCCGUAAACGAUGGAUACUAGCUGUUCGGAGCAAAUCUGAGUGGCUAAAGCGAAAGUGAUAAGUAUCCCACCUGGGGAGCACGCACGCAAGUGUGAAACUCAAAGGAAUUGACGGGGGCCCGCACAAGCGGUGGAGCAUGUGGUUUAAUUCGAUGAUACGCGAGGAACCUUACCAGGGCUUAAAUGUAGAUUGACAGGACUGGAAACAGUUUUUCUUCGGACAAUUUACAAGGUGCUGCAUGGUUGUCGUCAGCUCGUGCCGUGAGGUGUCAGGUUAAGUCCUAUAACGAGCGCAACCCCUGUCGUUAGUUGCCAGCGAGUCAUGUCGGGAACUCUAACGAGACUGCCAGUGUAAACUGUGAGGAAGGUGGGGAUGACGUCAAAUCAUCACGGCCCUUACGUCCUGGGCCACACACGUGCUACAAUGGUAGGUACAGAGAGCAGCCACUGCGCGAGCAGGAGCGAAUCUACAAAACCUAUCUCAGUUCGGAUC